UUAAGUGACAAAGCGUACAAGGUGGAUGCCUUGGCAAUCAGAGGCGAAGAAGGACGUGCUAAUCUGCGAAAAGCUUGGAUGAGUCGAUAAGAGGCGUUUAAUCCAAGAUGUCCGAAUGGGGAAACCCAGUGGGUGAAGAACCCACUAUCAUUAUCUGAAUCCAUAGGAUAAUGAGGCGAACCGGGAGAACUGAAACAUCUAAGUACCCCGAGGAAAAGAAAUCAACCGAGAUUUUGUGAGUAGCGGCGAGCGAAAGCGAAGGAGCCUGUUAGUGAUAGCGGAAGUAUUAGAGGAAUUGGCUGGGAAGCCAAAUCGUAGAGGGUGAUAAUCCCGUACUCGAAAAUACUUUUGUGGUACUGAGCUAACGACAAGUAGGGCGGGACACGUGAUAUCCUGUUUGAAGAUGGGGGGACCAUCCUCCAAGGCUAAAUACUCCUGAUUGACCGAUAGUGAACCAGUACUGUGAAGGAAAGGCGAAAAGAACCCCGGUGAGGGGAGUGAAAUAGAACCUGAAACCUUGUACGUACAAGCAGUGGGAGCCCGCAAGGGUGACUGCGUACCUUUUGUAUAAUGGGUCAGCGACUUAUAUUUUGUAGCGAGGUUAACCGAAUAGGGGAGCCGAAGGGAAACCGAGUCUUAACUGGGCGAAUAGUUGCAAGGUAUAGACCCGAAACCCGGUGAUCUAGCCAUGGGCAGGUUGAAGGUUGGGUAACACUAACUGGAGGACCGAACCGACUAAUGUUGAAAAAUUAGCGGAUGACUUGUGGCUGGGGGUGAAAGGCCAAUCAAACCGGGAGAUAGCUGGUUCUCCCCGAAAUCUAUUUAGGUAGAGCCUUGAGCGGACACCUUCGGGGGUAGAGCACUGUUUCGGCUAGGGGGCCAUCCCGGCUUACCAACCCGAUGCAAACUACGAAUACCGAAGAGUGAUACUCAGGAGACACACGGCGGGUGCUAACGUCCGUCGUGGAGAGGGAAACAACCCAGACCGCCAGCUAAGGUCCCAAAGUCUAUAUUAAGUGGGAAACGAAGUGGGAAGGCUUAGACAGCUAGGAUGUUGGCUUAGAAGCAGCCAUCAUUUAAAGAAAGCGUAAUAGCUCACUAGUCGAGUCGGCCUGCGCGGAAGAUGUAACGGGGCUCAAAUAUAGCACCGAAGCUGCGGCAUCAGACGUAAGUCUGUUGGGUAGGGGAGCGUUGUGUAAGCGGAUGAAGGUUCAUCGAGAGGUGGGCUUGACGUAUCACAAGUGCGAAUGCUGACAUAAGUAACGAUAAAACGGGUGAAAAACCCGUUCGCCGGAAGACCAAGGGUUCCUGUCCAACGUUAAUCGGGGCAGGGUGAGUCGGCCCCUAAGGCGAGGCUGAAAAGCGUAGUCGAUGGGAAACGGGUUAAUAUUCCCGUACUUGGAUAAACUGCGAUGUGGGGACGGAGCAGGUUAGGUUAGCGUGCUGUUGGAUAUGCACGUUUAAGUUAGUAGGUGGGGAGUUUAGGCAAAUCCGGACUUCCUUAACACUGAGAGAUGAUGACGAGGCUCUACGGAGCUGAAGUAACUGAUACCACACUUCCAGGAAAAGCCACUAAGCUUCAGGUUUAUCUAAACCGUACUGAAAACCGACACAGGUGGUCAGGUAGAGAAUACUCAGGCGCUUGAGAGAACUCGGGUGAAGGAACUAGGCAAAAUAGCACCGUAACUUCGGGAGAAGGUGCGCCGGCGUAGAUUGUAGCCCCUUGCGGGCGAAGGUUGAACCGGUCGAAGAUACCAGCUGGCUGCAACUGUUUAUUAAAAACACAGCACUCUGCAAACACGAAAGUGGACGUAUAGGGUGUGACGCCUGCCCGGUGCUGGAAGGUUAAUUGAAGAUGUGAGAGCAUCGGAUCGAAGCCCCAGUAAACGGCGGCCGUAACUAUAACGGUCCUAAGGUAGCGAAAUUCCUUGUCGGGUAAGUUCCGACCUGCACGAAUGGCAUAAUGAUGGCCAGGCUGUCUCCACCCGAGACUCAGUGAAAUUGAAAUCGCCGUGAAGAUGCGGUGUACCCGCGGCUAGACGGAAAGACCCCGUGAACCUUUACUAUAGCUUGACACUGAACAUUGAAUUUUGAUGUGUAGGAUAGGUGGGAGACUUUGAAGUAGUCACGCCAGUGAUUAUGGAGUCAUCCUUGAAAUACCACCCUUUAACGUUUGAUGUUCUAACGAAGAUUGCGAAACGCGGUCUCGGACAGUGUCUGGUGGGUAGUUUGACUGGGGCGGUCUCCUCCCAAAGAGUAACGGAGGAGCACGAAGGUUUGCUAAUCACGGUCGGACAUCGUGAGGUUAGUGCAAUGGUAUAAGCAAGCUUAACUGCGAGACAGACAAGUCGAGCAGGUACGAAAGUAGGUCAUAGUGAUCCGGUGGUUCUGCAUGGAAGGGCCAUCGCUCAACGGAUAAAAGGUACUCCGGGGAUAACAGGCUGAUACCGCCCAAGAGUUCAUAUCGACGGCGGUGUUUGGCACCUCGAUGUCGGCUCAUCUCAUCCUGGGGCUGUAGUCGGUCCCAAGGGUAUGGCUGUUCGCCAUUUAAAGAGGUACGUGAGCUGGGUUUAAAACGUCGUGAGACAGUUUGGUCCCUAUCUGCUGUGGGCGUUGGAGAUUUGACGGGGGCUGCUCCUAGUACGAGAGGACCGGAGUGGACACACCUCUGGUGUACCUGUUGUCACGCCAGUGGCAUCGCAGGGUAGCUAAGUGUGGAAGAGAUAACCGCUGAAAGCAUCUAAGCGGGAAACUUGCCUGAAGAUGAGAUCUCCCUGGGGACUCGAUCCCCCUGAAGGGUCGUCCAAGACCAGGACGUUGAUAGGCCGGGUGUGGAAGCGCAGUAAUGCGUGCAGCUAACCGGUACUAAUUGCCCGUGAGGCUUGACCCU
RNAcentral lists this ribosomal RNA (2890 nucleotides) under human oral metagenome. Its description in RNAcentral is "bacterial LSU rRNA". It matches the Rfam family "Bacterial large subunit ribosomal RNA". The record is from RNAcentral.